UCGUACCACUCUCGGCAAUGGAUAUCUUGGCUCUCGCAUCAAUGAAGAACGUCGUGAAAUGCGAUACUUGGUGUGAAUUAUAGAAUCCCGUGAACCAUCGAGUCUUUGAACGCAAGUUGUGCCCAAGGCUAUCCGGCCGAGGGCAUGCCUGCCUG
RNAcentral lists this ribosomal RNA (155 nucleotides) under Avonsera convallarioides. RNAcentral describes it as "5.8S ribosomal RNA". It matches the Rfam family "5.8S ribosomal RNA". From Rfam's summary of the family: 5.8S ribosomal RNA (5.8S rRNA) is a component of the large subunit of the eukaryotic ribosome. The record is from RNAcentral. Lineage: Eukaryota; Viridiplantae; Streptophyta; Magnoliopsida; Asparagales; Asparagaceae.